AAAACAUCUCCCAAACUGUCCCAAGAUUGUCAGAGACAAGGAAUGUCAAAAUUUGUGUUUAAGUGGCAAGUCCCCCUUUUUUUUUUAAAACAACGCUAUGAAAGAGCAAGGCAAACAACCCCUUAAUAGAUUAAAUCUAUGUUAUCCAGA
Non-coding RNA from Odocoileus virginianus texanus, 150 nucleotides. NCBI's taxonomy places the organism in Eukaryota, Metazoa, Chordata, Mammalia, Artiodactyla, Cervidae. The record is from RefSeq and is a predicted model, not a curated record.